CAGUUAUUGGUUUAGGGUAUACAUUCCUUGUACAAUAAAUCAAUAUGCCCAAUAGGGCUACAAAAAUGUCCAUUUAAGGAAGUUCAAAUAAUGGAAUAAACAUAACUAAACAUCCUAUAGGUUUAACCUCCGCUGGGCAACUCUGAUGGGAUGCAGAAGGCAGCUUUUAUUCACAACUUUCUUGCUGUUCAAGAUCUGGAUCUUGAUCUUUCU
Molecule: long non-coding RNA, 213 nt
Filed under: Carica papaya (papaya)
Lineage: Eukaryota; Viridiplantae; Streptophyta; Magnoliopsida; Brassicales; Caricaceae
Description: long non-coding RNA (CPAP_LNC015293)
Source: RNAcentral